This 254-nucleotide ribosomal RNA is filed under the name uncultured bacterium. Its description in RNAcentral is "partial 16S ribosomal RNA". It matches the Rfam family "Bacterial small subunit ribosomal RNA", at positions 80 to 334 of the family's 1533-position model. The record is from RNAcentral.
CAAUACCGCUGACGACCGGCGCGCGGGUGAGUAACACGUAUCCAACCUUCCCAUAACUCGGGGAUAGCCUUUCGAAAGAAAGAUUAAUACCCGAUAGUACUUUAUUAAGGCAUCUUAAGAAAGUUAAAGAUUUAUUGGUUAUGGAUGGGGAUGCGUUCCAUUAGAUAGUUGGUGAGGUAACGGCUCACCAAGUCUUCGAUGGAUAGGGGUUCUGAGAGGAAGGUCCCCCACAUUGGUACUGAGACACGGACCAA